Molecule: ribosomal RNA, 468 nt
Filed under: uncultured bacterium
Lineage: Bacteria
Description: partial 16S ribosomal RNA
Rfam family: Bacterial small subunit ribosomal RNA
Source: RNAcentral
GACGAACGCUGGCGGCGUGCUUAACACAUGCAAGUCGAACGGAAAGGCCCUGCUUUUGUGGGGUGCUCGAGUGGCGAACGGGUGAGUAACACGUGAGUAACCUGCCCUUGACUUUGGGAUAACUUCAGGAAACUGGGGCUAAUACCGGCUAGGAGCUCCUGCUGCAUGGUGGGGGUUGGAACGUUUCGGCGGUUGGGGAUGGACUCGCGGCUUAUCAGCUUGUUGGUGGGGUAGUGGCUUACCAAGGCUUUGACGGGUAGCCGGCCUGAGAGGGUGACCGGCCACAUUGGGACUGAGAUACGGCCCAGACUCCUACGGGAGGCAGCAGUGGGGAAUAUUGCACAAUGGGCGGAAGCCUGAUGCAGCAACGCCGCGUGCGGGAUGACGGCCUUCGGGUUGUAAACCGCUUUCGCCUGUGACGAAGCGUGAGUGACGGUAAUGGGUAAAGAAGCACCGGCUAACUACGUG